AAUGAACGCUGGCGGCGUGCUUUACACAUGCAAGUCGAGCGAGGCGGCCCGCAAGGGUCAGUCGAGCGGCGAACGGGUGAGUAACGCGUGGAUAACCUGCCCAGAGGUGGGGGAUAACCCGGGGAAACUCGGGCUAAUACCGCAUAUGACCGUGAGGUCAAAGGCGGCUCGCAAGAGCUGUCGCCAUUGGAGGGGUCCGCGUACGAUUAGCUAGUUGGUAGGGUAAUGGCCUACCAAGGCGACGAUCGUUAGCCGGCCUGAGAGGGUGAUCGGCCACACUGGAACUGAGACACGGUCCAGACUCCUACGGGAGGCAGCAGUGGGGAAUUUUGCGCAAUGGGCUAACGCCUGACGCAGCAACGCCGCGUGGAGGAUGAAGGUCUUUGGAUUGUAAACUCCUGUCAGCAGGGAAAAAGCAAACCUGACCUCAUACGUCAGGAAGUUGAUUGUACCUGCAGAGGAAG
This 464-nucleotide ribosomal RNA is filed under the name uncultured bacterium. RNAcentral's name for it is "bacterial SSU rRNA". It matches the Rfam family "Bacterial small subunit ribosomal RNA", at positions 29 to 490 of the family's 1533-position model. The record is from RNAcentral.